GGUUGUCCACGCCGUAAACGAUGAAUACUAGGUGUUGGUGGGCAAAGCCCAUCGGUGCCGCCGCAAACGCAGUAAGUAUUCCACCUGGGGAGUACGUUCGCAAGAAUGAAACUCAAAGGAAUUGACGGGGACCCGCACAAGCGGUGGAGCAUGGGGGGGAAAUAAAAGCAACGCGAAGAACCUUACCAGGUCUUGACAUCGGGGCGGCAGGCUCGUAACGGAGCCGUUCCUUCGGGACGCCCCAGACAGGUGGUGCAUGGUUGUCGUCAGCUCGUGUCGUGAGAUGUUGGGUUAAGUCCCGCAACGAGCGCAACCCUUAUCCUAAGUAGCCAGCAGGUAAAGCCGGGCACUCUUGGGAGACUGCCAGGGAUAACUUGGAGGAAGGUGGGGAUGACGUCAAAUCAUCAUGCCCCUUAUGAUCUGGGCUACACACGUGCUACAAUGGGAGAAACAAAGAGAGGCGAAAGGGCGACCUGGAGCAAACCUCAAAAAUAACGUCUCAGUUCGGACUGCAGCCUGAAGGCCGCCUGCACGAAGCCGGAAUCGCUAGUAAU
RNAcentral lists this ribosomal RNA (554 nucleotides) under uncultured bacterium. Its description in RNAcentral is "bacterial SSU rRNA". It matches the Rfam family "Bacterial small subunit ribosomal RNA", at positions 789 to 1342 of the family's 1533-position model. The record is from RNAcentral.